Molecule: non-coding RNA, 548 nt
Organism: Python bivittatus (Burmese python)
Lineage: Eukaryota; Metazoa; Chordata; Lepidosauria; Squamata; Pythonidae
Source: RefSeq, a predicted model, not a curated record
UCAAGUCUGUUUACGAGAAGUGCUUUUUGGGUGCUAAUAUCAACGGAGUAGAACUUGUCAAACAGGCCGCUGAUGCUUGUAACUUUUCUCCUUUUGUUCUCUUCGAUCUGAAACUUCGCAAGAUUUCAGUUGUGAGAAACCGUAUCUUAAGUAAUUGUUAAGAAACGGGGCUGUCAAUCAAAUGUAUAUCUUGCUUGAUCUUCCCUCCUGUGACCUCAUCACAAAAGAACUCUGGACUUCUUCACAACAGUUCUUGCUAAGAAAAUAAAUGGCUUUCCUAACCAAAAUGAUGCAUUCUGAUCAGACUGGAUUUAUCCCGAAGAGAAAAAGCCUUUGACAGUUUGGAACGGUCUUUAAUCCCUGCAGUUUUGAAAAAGAAAGGUUGUGACUCUCAUUUUCUUACAUGGGUACAGAGCAUUUGCAAACAACAAAAAGCCAAAAUAAUAGUAAAUGGUUCUUUAUCACAGUGCAGUGUUCACAGUGACACUCUGUGGAAGCAAAAGUUGGACUUUGAAGAAGCAGGAUAGAAAGAAUGUUGGAGAAGAAUC